Molecule: small nucleolar RNA, 201 nt
Organism: Hyla sarda
Lineage: Eukaryota; Metazoa; Chordata; Amphibia; Anura; Hylidae
Product: small nucleolar RNA SNORA74
Exons: 1
Source: RefSeq, a predicted model, not a curated record
UCCAGUGGUAGUCAGCUGUCCAGUGCUUCCCAUGCCUGUGACUGUGUUACACUGCUGGCAGAUAAAGGCACUACUGUCUCAUGUUGGUGGGCACGUCGCUGUUCUGGUGACAUGUCACUGCUAGCAUUUAGUAGUGUUGGGAUUUCUUGAGAGUGUGCCACACAGGAUCGUCUGUUUGGUGCUAGUCUGCAAUCCCACAGA